GGGAACUACGAGCUAAGCUUAAAACCCAAAGGACUUGACGGUACCCCAUAUCCCCCUAGAGGAGCCUGUCCUAUAAUCGAUAAUCCACGUUUAACCUCACCAUUUCUAGUUACUCAGCCUGUAUACCUCCGUCGUCAGCUUACCACGUGAGCGAUAAUUAGUGAGCCUAAUGCUUUUUCACCAACACGUCAGGUCAAGGUGCAGCAAAUGAAAUGGGAAGAGAUGGGCUACACUUUCUACAUUAGAAAAAACGAAAAACUAUUUAUGAAAUCUAGUUGGAAGGCGGAUUUAGCAGUAAAAAGGAAUCAGAAUGUCCAUUUUAACCCGGCACUGGGGUGUGUACACACCGCCCGUCACCCUCUUCAAAGCUUCUAACCUAGUCCUUAACAAACUAAAGCACGACAGAAGAGGCAAGUCGUAACAUGGUAAGUAUACCGGAAGGUGUGCUUGGAAA
This 454-nucleotide ribosomal RNA is filed under the name Rhinella granulosa (granular toad). RNAcentral describes it as "partial 12S ribosomal RNA". It matches the Rfam family "Bacterial small subunit ribosomal RNA", at positions 875 to 1522 of the family's 1533-position model. The record is from RNAcentral. Lineage: Eukaryota; Metazoa; Chordata; Amphibia; Anura; Bufonidae.